GGAGAGAUGGUCGAGUGGUUUAAGGCGGCGGUCUUGAAAACCGUUGAGGCGUCAAAACCUCCGGGGGUUCGAAUCCCCCUCUCUCCGCCA
This 90-nucleotide transfer RNA is filed under the name Lentisphaeria bacterium. Its description in RNAcentral is "tRNA-Ser". It matches the Rfam family "tRNA". From Rfam's summary of the family: Transfer RNA (tRNA) molecules are approximately 80 nucleotides in length. Their secondary structure includes four short double-helical elements and three loops (D, anti-codon, and T loops). The record is from RNAcentral. Lineage: Bacteria; Pseudomonadati; Lentisphaerota; Lentisphaeria.